AUCAUAAAAAACGUUAGAUUUGCGCGUUCGGAUCUUCGAGUUGGAUUCGGACCGGUUCUUUUCGUGUUCGGGUCCGUCGGCUCCUAAACAUUUCCACCCAAUAGAUAUUUAGAAAUUUUUGGUUCAGUUCGGCCGGAUCUUUUCGGAUCCGAACCUAUUUGGGUCUAUAAUUUUUUUUCGGGUCUAUAUUGAGUCUGGAUUGGCUUCGGGUAUUUAUGACCUGAAAAAGACAUAACAUAUCUAACUCCAUCAGAUUUGGUCUAUAGUUGUCAUAUAUAACAACUUAAAUAAAACUAUUAAUAAUUAAAAUAAAAAAAUUAAACUCUAAUUAAAACUUCAUAUUGCUUAAAAAAAGUUACAAAAUAAUAACAAAUAUUGUUAACAAAAAAUAUUUCAACUAAAUCAUAAAAUAAUAUAUAUAAAAUAGAGCACAAAAAAUCAUAGUUUUGGAUAUACAUAUUCUUAAGUCGGGUACAAAUCAGUUUUUAUCGGGUUGGGUCUAUUUAGAUCGGUUCUUUUUUGAGUCCGGGUAUAUUCGGAUCGGUUCUUUUCGGUUCUGGUUCUUUCGGGUAAAAACAAAUUAGACACAAAAGGUACUUAUAAUUUUUUGGUUCGGUUUCGGAUCGGAUAUUUUUGGAUCGGUUCCGGUUCGGGUUUUCUGAUCCACGUUAAAAUGUCCAGGCCUAGAAAACGCUACAAAUCGUUUCAAACUACUCUACACCUCUUAAAAUCAAAAGCUGGUUCCAUCUAGCGUUUGUGGUUGUAGAUAGUUGCGGGAAGGUAAUUUUUUUUUAUAAAAAUAAAAAUAAAAAAUAUUCAAGAAAAAUUUUAAAUUGAAAUAAUAUAUAAAUUAAAAUUUAUAUAUAUUAUAUUUUAAUUUAUAUUACAAAAAAUUUAAACAAAAUAUUUUCUAUAAUUUAAAAAACAAUUAAUAGUAUAAUUUUAUAAAUACAAUUUUUAUAUUUAUUAUAAUUUUUAAUUCUUUUUAAUUAUAUAAAAUAUAUAUAUUGUUAAUUUAUUAUUUAACAACUGCUGUAUUUGGUAGUUAACCAGUCAUAAGUAUCUUACAAACCAAUCAAUUUUUAACCACUGUACAAAUCGUAAAAAUCUCUUAAAAAUGUUUUAAAUUGCAACCAGCUGCAUUCGCAAACGUUCGCAACUGCUGCGAUUACACUAGUUUGCCCCUAAGUAUCAAUUUAUUUAUUUUUGCCGAGAGUAAUUUACUCUUGACGCUCGGAGCAGAUUAUUUGCAUCUUUUUGUUUUCUUUAAAAGGGAGUAUUUGCUGGUUUCUUAUAGAAAAUUGAGAAAAGAACAAAACUUAGGUUCACCCUUUAAAUUUACUUCACUUUUAAUAAUCAACUAGAUUUUGACCCGCGCUUUAAAAAGCGCGGAACUAAUUCUCUUUUAAAAUUCUACAAAUUUUUUAAUUAUAAGAUUUUUAAAAAAAUUAUAAGAUUAUGUGUUUUUAUAUAUGAUAACCAUAUACAUUUAAAAUUUACUGGUUGUUUAUGUUAUAAUCAUAGAUAUUAGAUAUGAUAUAUAAAAAAUUUAUAUUUAUAUUUAUGAAAUUAUUUUUAAAGAAGUUAAAUGUUUAGAAAAUAUUGUAUUAAUUUUACUUUAUUCUAAAGUAUUAUAUUUAUAUACUAAAGAUAUUUUCUCAUUACAUCUUUUAAUAUUAUUUUUGCACAUCUUAUUUUUAUUGAUAAUAUUUUAUUUCAUCAUUUAGAUGCAUAUAUUUGUUCCAAUUAUAUAAAAUCACUACUAUAUAAGUUGAAAAAAUGAAUGAUAUUUCACAUUGCAUAUUUUAGUAUUAUUCUUUUCAGAUUUUAACUUUUAAUGAUUAUUUAUUUAUUUACUUAGAUGCAUAUAUUUGUUCCAACCAUAUAAAACUCAACUAUAAAAAUUGUAAAAUGACAAGUUUAUGAUUUUUUUUAUUUCUCAUAGUAGGAAAAUACACUACAAAAAACACUUCAAUUAAUUUUUAUCUAAUAAAUAAAUUAUAUUAGUUUAAUUUAUUUAUUAUCCACAAAAUUAAGUAUAUUUUAUAUGAUUAAAAAUAUCUAAUUAAAAAAAAAUCUAGUCGAAAAUAAUUUGCUAUGGAUAUGAUAAAGCUUUACCUAUAGUAAAUGCUAAUAGUUAAUUAGCAUUUAUGGUUUUGUUUUGGUUUGUAAAGAAAAUUUAUUUGUUACCAUAAAUAUGAGAUAUUUCUAUUAUUUUGUAAAUAUGAUUAUAAUCCAAGGGUAGAAUCCUAAAUUUUUAAAAUAGGAUCAUGUUUUAAUAGUAUAGAUGUUGCAACAUAACAAUCAUGACGUUGGGUGAUAAAAUAUUUUUUAAUGGUUAUUCUUGUAUAAAAUAUCAUUGAAUAUGAUCUUAUUAAUAAAUAUACUGUACUGUUAUUUAUGGCUUUGGGACUGAAAUAGUGAUAUAUUAGAAUACAAUGGUUGAGUAAAAUAUUAAAAUAAAUAUUUUACUUUCAUUUAAACGUGAAUUACAGAAGAUAAUUAUUAACUGAUCUUUCCUAAAAUGCAGGGAAAUAGGCCUAAACAAUCAGUUACAUUUAUAAAUAUUCCCAUAUAUUAUUUAGGAUAUGCUAUGUGUAGAGAUUAAAUAAUGUGUCUAACUAAAUUUUAAUAAAUAGGUCCAAACAACUUUUAUAAGUAGAUUUAUCAAGACUACUUCCUUUUUAAUAGAAUAGAUCAUAUUGCCACAUAGAUAAAUGAAUAAAAAUGGAGGAUCAUCACUUUGCCUGGAUAUUAUGGUACAUUUGGAAGGGCCGGAACAACAAAGUGUUCAGUAACAUGGAUGUUGAUCCGAGGGAAACGCUCCGAUUAGCAGAAGUUGAAUCAACACUGUUGGCUGAGGCAUAGGUUAUUAAUGAUCAUAGAUUGACAUGGGAAGUACAGGUUAGGCCAGAUUUCGGAACCACAAGAAGAUGGUGUUUCACAUACGGUUCUUGGAAAGACAAGGAUUUUUUUUCAGGACAAGGAUGGUUCAGUACGUUACUAGGGCUUGAUGGUUUAUUAGGAGCAAGGAAUGUAAGGACAUGCCUCUCACCUCUUCAUUCGGAGAUAGAGGCUCUAGUUUGGGUAAUGGAAUGUAUGAGAAACUUAAGGCACUUCAGGUUACGUUUGCGAUAAAUUGUUCUCAGUUGGUGAAGAUGGUUUCGGAACCAGAGGAAUGACCAGCAUUUGAAAGCUACCUGGAAGAUAUUAAGCUUUUGCGACACAGUUUCUCAACUCAGAUAUUGUACAUGUUUAUAGGACGGAGAACAUAAGGGCGGAUAGAUUGGCACGUAGUGCUCGGAAACAACUGUCUUUCGUCGUGCAUAUAGACGCAGAGUUACCACUUUGGUUUAAAGAAUCUACAUGAGUCUGUAAAUGUUUGAUGUAAAAAAAAAAAGAUAAAUGAAUAAAAAAUAUUAGAUAUUUUUGUAAAAAUAAAAAUAACUAUAAAAAAAACUCGAUUUUAACAAAGCUAAUACCGUCUGCUAAACCCUAAAUCCAAACCGUAACCCUAAACUAAAAAUCCUAUACCCUAAACCCAAACCGAAUACCCUAAAACCUAAACCUAGACCCAAAACCCGAACCCUAUACCCUAAAUCCAAAAUCUAAACCCUAAAACCUAAACCCUAGACCUAAACACAAACUUUAUACCCUAAACCCAAACCAUAGACCCUAAACUCUAAAUCUUAAACCCUAAACUCUAAAUCCUAAACUUGAACUCUAGACCCUAAACUUAAAUUCUAUACCGUAAACCUGACUCCUAUAUCCUAAACUCAAACCCUAUACUCUAAUCUAAACUGUAAAUCCUAAACCCAAGUCCUAUACCCUAAAUGUUUGGAUUAAUGUUGAUAUUGUUCUUUUAGAGUUUAAGGUUAGGAUUUAAGGUUUGGAUUUAUAGUCUACGGUUUGGGUUCAUGAUUUAGGGUCUAGAGUUUGGGUUUAGGGUCUAGGGUUUGAGUACUGAGUCUAAAGUUUGGGUUUAUGAUUUAAGAUUUCGGAUUUAGAGUUUAGAGUUUAGAAUCUAGAGUUUGGGUUUAGGGUAUAUAGUUUGGAUUUAGGGUAUAUAGUUUGGGUUUAGGGUCUAGGGUUUAGGUUUUAGAGUUUAAGGUUUAAAUUUAGGGUAUAGGGUUCAGGUUUAGGGUCAUGGUUUGGUUUUAGGAUAUAGAGUUUGGGUUUAGGGUAUAAAGUUUUGGUUAAGGGUUACGGUUUGGAUUUAAGGGUUUGUUGGCGGCGUUAGCAUCGUUAAAAUUGACGUUAUUUUUUUCAGUUAUUUUAAUUUUUUAAAAAUUAUUUAAUAUUUUUUAUUUAUUAAUUUAUAUGAUAUUAUAAUUGGUUAAUAGAGGUGAGGUGAAUUUAAAGAUUCACUUAAGUUUUGUUCGAAAAGAAAAAGGGUAAACGGGUAGAUGAGCUAUAGCAUUUAUUAAAUUUGUUGGUCUUAUUCUUCUUUCUGUUAGCCUUUGGGACCAUACCGUCAACAUGUUGAAAUCAUGUCGACACGUAUAAACAUUAAACACAUAUAGUUAUACGUUACAAGUUCAAGUUACGUGUUGCAUAUAGACAUAUUUACGUAGAGAACUAUAAUUCAACAAAAACGUAGAGUAUCGAUAACUUCAUGUAAUACGUAACAAUACCUAUCCUAAGCGAUUGUAUAUCAUUAAACAUACGUAGCAACUAUAAUCAAGCAAGGUUUUUUUUUUUGAAAAGGGAAUAAUCAAGCAAGUUUCAAAGAAAAAACUAUAAACAAGCAUGGCCAGGCAUACUUCGAUUAGGUUUUUUUAAUUCCUCUGUUUUUCUACCCCAAAUAAAAGCCACUGUUUUUCUAUUACCUUUGCACAUCACAAAACCGUUUAAUAUUUGUGUUUUUUAUAAAAAGCUCAGCUACUAAGAAAACAGUUCAACAGCUGGGUUAGAAAAAACAGUAGUGAUUUCCUAUCCAAAUACAUGAGCAAACAAAAAUAAAAAAAAACUUGCAGUUUUAGAGAAAACGAACAAAAAUAACAACGUUGUUAUAAUAUACCAGACACUUGCCCGGGUUUCGAUUGUCAAUAAUAGCACAUUUUGAAGUUUAUGUCUCAAAAAUGACACUAAAAAGAGAAAAUCACAAAAAUGACAUUCAUUAAAAGGUAAAAUAUCCCUAAUACCUUUGGAUUAAAAUUAAAUAAACAAACAAAAAUAAAUAAAAAUAAAUAAAAUAAAAAUUAAAAAAAUAAAUUUUUUUUUUAUAGUUUCAGAUUAUAUGUUUUCAGAUUCAAAAUUUUUAUAAAUUUUUUUUGAAAUUUUUUUUUCGAAAUUUUUUUUAUUUUUUUUCAAAUUUUCUUUUUAUAAUUUAAAAAUAAUUUUUGUUUUUAAAAUUUUUAUCUUUUAUUUUAGUAUUUAUUUUUUAUAAAAUUUUAAACCCUAAUUCCAAAACCCCACCCCUUAACUCUAAACCCUAAGGUUUGGAUUAAUUAAGGACAAAUCUCCAAAAUAGCACCUUUCUAAGUUUAUAUCACAAAAAUAGCACUCAAAAACUAAAAUGACCAAAAUAGCCUUUUAUCUUUUGAAAAAUUUAAAUUUUUUAUUUUUUAAAAUUUGAAAUCUUAUCCCCAAAACCUUACUUCUCAACUCUAAACCCUAAAACCUAAACUCUAAACCCUAAACCCUAAAUUCUAAAUCCUAAACCCCACCCCUUGAGUGCUAUUUUUGUGACUUUUGACCUUGAAUGCUAGUUUGGGAACAAAAACUUGAUUUAGUGCUAUUUUGGUCUUUUUCUCAUUAAUUAACCCAAGGAGUAUAAGUGUAUAUUUACCUCUUUAAUAAAACCUAUUUUUGUGACUUUGAGCCUUGAAUGCUACUUUUGAAACAAAAACUUGGUUUACUGCUAUCCUAGUCUUUUUCUCUUCCGUAUAUUAGUUAUAGGUUUGAUUGCGACCGAACCGAGACUGAGUCGACCAUUUAGCCCAAUCUCUAAAAGUGUUGGGACCAUCAACAUCUUUUGAUUCACUCACCUAAAUUCCACUGUUCCACAUAACUCAAAGUCUCAAAACUAGUUUUAUUAGAGAAAUAAGGAAAUGGUUGGCCAAGAGAUAGAGAAGAUAAAUAUUUUUAAUAGAUUAGGGCUUGGUUGUUCCAAACACAAUUUAAUUUCUUAGAGCAACUUUAUUGGCAAGUUUUUCCAAAUAGGGGUUCUUAACUAAUAAAUAUGGUUAUUUAAUAUUAGUCUAAUUACCUAGUUAAAAUUUAUUAAUUUUGAUAAAUUGAACCAAUUUAAAAUAGGCAUGUGGUGUCAUAGGUUCUCAAGAAUAAUUAAUAAUAUAUAUUUUGAAAUAUUUUUCUUUGUCUCUCUAUUAAUCUUCUUAAAUUUUAUUUAAUUUUAUUGUUAAGAUAUCCAUUGAGUGUCAAUGGAUGGAGAUUGUGUUUGGUGUGUUAUAAUCUAUGUCUCGUAGUUCUAUAUAACACAAUAUUUUGAAUAUAUAAAUGAAUGUUUCUUUUAUAAAAAAAACUCUAUUUUCCAUUUGCAUUUGGCUUUACGUUAAUAAACUACAAAUAACUAUUGAUUAAUGCACAGUUUAGUUUUGAAUUAUGAUAACAUGCAAAAACGUAAACAUAUAUGAAAAAAUAUUGGGUAGAGUAAUACCGGUUUAAUGACAAUUGAAAGGCUUUAAUUAAACACAUACAGAAAAGGAUGUAGGCCCAUGCUAACGUAAAUAAUAGAAGAUGAUGGUACUACAACUGUUUUGCUAAAGUCCACUCAGCUAACGAGUUCUAUAUGCGAAACACAUUAAAGAAGAAAUGUAGGUCUGUGACAGAAGAAAACAAAGCAAAUAAGUUGUAUCUGCCCAAAACGAUAGAAUAAAAUGAAUUCGAUUUUUAUCAAGAGUUUUAUUGAGAUUCAGACAUGAGCCAAAUCUAUAGAACAAUCGUUUAAUAAAAUACUUCACAAAAAGAAAAGAGUCCUAAAGAAAACCAACAAGAUAAAGGUCUUUAAAUCCCAUCACUUGACGACAAAAAAAAAUCCCAUCACUUAGUGGAAGGCAAAGAAGCUGAGAUGGAUGGUUGAAGAGUAUUCUUGUGUGCUAGUGUAGCAUUUAUACCUAGAGGUCUAGUUUUGUUUAUUUCUUUUUUGCGUAAUUUCAAACCGUUUAUUAUAUAGGUCUAAUGGGCUUGAUGGUCCAUAUUCGAUCGCUUUAUGCCGAUGUAACUUGACUUUGGAAAAGAAAAAAAACAGAAAACUAAUCUUCAAAGAUUUGAAAUCGGAUGAUCGGAAUUUGCUGUGUUAAAGGGAACCUACCGAAAAGCAUGACACUGUGCUUUUUUUCUAAAAGAUGACAAAAGAAACUUAUCGGUAAAAAGAAGAAAAGACUCAACACUCAAGUCUUGUUUUUUUACCCAUAAUGGAUGGACACUCGUAACAUAUGAGUCCAUACAAAUCAACAGAGAAAUAUCAAGGAUGAAUAUAACAUGGAGAUCAAAGGAGCAAAACGAGAAAGCUUUUGCAAAUUUAUUAUUUAUUUAUUUGGGUCAAAGCUUAACCUUAAUUUAGAGAUGGAAACUGAGAUGUUAACCCACAAGUUUAAGAAUGAAUCUCCCUCUGGAAAAAGGUUUCAGAUAUUUACAUUACUCAUUUAGAAAGGUUUUUUACCCAUGAAAAAAAUUAGAUAUACCUUUUUUAAAAAACAAAUCACAUAGUACGUAACCUUUUUACUAUUAGAUUACUAUUAGACUACGUACAAAAGCCCAAAUAUGUCUUAUGAAAAGUCCAUAAUCUCAAGUGUUCUAGGGUUCUGAGCAAGUAUUGAACUAUAUGUGUAUAUAUAUAUAUAUUUAAAUUAAAUUUUAUAAAUCAGUCUGAAAAUCAGGAAUUAUGAUCCGACGACAAACCACUCGAACAAAAAAAACCCAAUUCUAACGGUUCCUAAACUAGCUUUGCUCAACAUGUCAACCCGACGCAUUCUGCUAGUUCGUAAGAAAUUCACGAUCGUUCUCAACCUUUAACGUGAACUUCGGGGAAGCAAGAUUUACCUCGUUUACUCGGAUGUCGGGACUCCCCAAGAUAUUUCCGGAGUAGCUUUAUGUCGAACUUAUCGAGCUUGUAAUCUUUACUGUCAAUUAAGUGCUUGGAAAUAGAAAGUGGAGAGAUCGGAGACAAAUCACCUUAGCGAGACUUUGAGAACGCUGCUAUACAACCACAACCAACGCCAAUAAAGAGCAAGAAGUGGUAAUGACUCAGCGCAGAGCCUCACACCCUCUAUAGCGGAUGACGAAACUGAAGCUGACUCUCAACCACAGACAUAAAUAAGGCGGCAGCAGAGCAAGGACGGAGUACGAGCAAAGGACAAGCAAGACAAGGGAGGAGAGAAACUGGCGUCAGCUGGACACCAGAGCGAUAUCAAAUUUGGUUUCGUUUUUUGAAAGGAUAAGUCGGAGGAGAGAGAGAGAUACUAUAUAUAUAUAUAUAUUGUUGUUAUGAGAGUAUUGUAAUAUAACCUAGAAUUCUUAGCAACUCUCCUUUCUUCUCAUACUAAUGAUAUUAUCGAAUCUACUUUGUUUUUGAAGGCAAAUCUCAAGCUGCUUUCUUUCUGUUUAAUG
Molecule: long non-coding RNA, 8571 nt
Filed under: Brassica rapa (field mustard)
Lineage: Eukaryota; Viridiplantae; Streptophyta; Magnoliopsida; Brassicales; Brassicaceae
Description: long non-coding RNA (BRAP_LNC004525)
Source: RNAcentral